This 497-nucleotide ribosomal RNA is filed under the name uncultured bacterium. RNAcentral's name for it is "partial 16S ribosomal RNA". It matches the Rfam family "Bacterial small subunit ribosomal RNA", at positions 28 to 507 of the family's 1533-position model. The record is from RNAcentral.
GAUGAACGCUGGCGGCGUGCCUAAUACAUGCAAGUCGAGCGGACGGACGCGAAGCUUUCUUCUCUGAUGUUACCGGCGGAUGGGAGAGUAACACGUGGCUCACCUCUCUAUGAUACUGGGAUAACAUCGGGACUCCUGAGCUAUUACCGGACAAUAUUUUGAACCGCUUGGUUCAAGCGUGUAAGACGGUCUUGGUGUCACCUAUCGAUGGACCCGCGCUGCAUUAGCUAGUUGGUAAGGUAACGGCUUACCAAGGCAACGAUGCAUAGCCGACCGGAGAGAGGGAUCGGCCACACGAGAGCGGGGACAGGGUCCAUGGUCCUACGGUACGCAGCAGUAGGGAAUCGUCCGCAGUGGGCGAAAGUAUUACGGAGCAACGCCGCGUGAGUGAUGGAGGUCUUCGGAGCGUAAAACUCUGUUAUUAGGGAAGAACAUAUGUGUAAGUAACUGUGCAGUACUUGACGGUACCUAAACAGAAAGCCACGGCUAACUACGUG